Molecule: long non-coding RNA, 620 nt
Organism: Lethenteron reissneri (Far Eastern brook lamprey)
Lineage: Eukaryota; Metazoa; Chordata; Hyperoartia; Petromyzontiformes; Petromyzontidae
Source: RefSeq, a predicted model, not a curated record
ACGCGAGGGACACGUGAAGGUGGCAGCGAUUGCGUGCCCCGAUGAUGCAUCGGACCCAUCGGCCAAGGGCACUGCAGUCGCACAGCGUGUCCGUAUGACUUUUCUCUCCCCUGUGCAAAGCACGUGCGCGGUAAACUGAUGACCAUGCUGCUUGCGUUUGGCACCUCCCACGGCACACGAGGUCAUCUCAAGGACAGGCCGUCUGAGAGUCUGAACGCGAGAGAAACCGGUACCAUAUUCAAGCCGUACGUGGUGCUGCCUUGAGACCUGCAUGAGGAGAAGUUCAUUCACAAACCACGCUUCUCGCCAGCACGAGCUCGACUUUCUUGUGCAGGACAACUUCAUUGCAACGCGCAGGGACACGUUGACUUCGUCCACGACAUCCCGUGAGCGCUCCAGCACCUGCACGAACCAGAAGGGAGCCUGCGACGUUCUUGGAUGUGGUGUAAAAGCAGUCUGGAGUGACCUUGAAAAUUCGGGCAUCUGCUGAAUUCUUCGACACGAAAUAGUAAAACUCAUGGGGUGUGCAGAAUUAAUUCUACAGCCCUGCUUUAGAAAAUAACCUCUUCAUUCUACAACUGAUACCGAUCAUUAAAUUAUGAAAAAAACAGACUCGUCGA